AGACCUCAGGUCAGACGUGGUGACCCGCUGAAUUUAAGCAUAUUAGUCAGCAGAGGAAAAGGAACUAACAAGGAUUCCCUCAGUAAGGAAUAGUGAACAGGGAACAGUUCAGCUCCAAAUUCCCGCCCUGCAAUGGGGUGCAGGAAAUGUGGGGUAUGUAAGACCCACUCCCCGGGGCUGCUCAUCGGGGGUCCAAGACCUUCUGAUCAUAGAUGGUGUGAAGCCGUUAGUGGCCCAUGGUAUGCUGGGUCCCAGUCUUCCCAGAGUUGGGUUGCUUGGGAAUGCAGCCCAAAGUGGGUGGUAAACUCCAUCUAAGGCUGAAUACCGAUAGUCAACAAGUACUGUAAGGGAAAGCUGAAAAGAACUUUGAAGAGAGAGUUCAAAAGGGCAUGAAACCCUUAAGAGGUAAAUGGGUGGGGUCUGCACAGUCCCCCCUGAGGAUUCAACCCAGUGGUUGAAUCCGGCUGUGCCAGUGGUCUCCUGGCAGAUCUUUCCUGCCUCUCAUUCCUCCCGACCCCUUCACCCAUCUGCCCACCCACCCGCUGCCGCCCCUCCUCCCUUCCGGGAGGGGAGUACGCUCUGGAGGGUGCAUGGGACGGGUGAGCAGGUCCGGGUGUGGGUGUGGGGCGGGUAGGGUACCACCCAGUGGAUGUUGACCUGCAGCCUCCAGGCGCAUUUCCACUUCGGUGCACCAGGACUAGCUCCGGACAUCUGGGAAGGCCUCUUGGGGAAGGUGGCUUGGGGGGGAGUCCCCCUGCCUGCGUUAUUCCCACGGCGUGUGGCAGGGGUCAGUUCCCCCCCGCCCCCCAAGUGUUACAGCCACCUGGCAGAGCAGCUCGCCAAAUCCUGGGGUUGAGGGAGCCAGACCCAUCACUGUGCUCUACCCGCUCCUGGCGCCCACCCACAGCGGAGGUCUUUCCCACAAGGGGGAGCCCACCUCUGAGACGCGAAUGCUGGCAUUCCCUGGGGGGCUGGACUGCCCCUCCCAUGGCGCGACCACUCUCCCACUCUUGCCUCUCCUUCCCCGCAGGGAGUGAUGGGGCAGGGCGGACUGUGCCCAUUGCACCCCAUGUGGUCUUGCCGUGGGACCUGAUCCAUCGUGAAACACAGACCAAUGAAUCUAACUCGUGAGCAAGUCGAGGGCUCCCUCAAAUGCCGCUGAGGCACAAUGAAGGUGAAGGCAGGUGUUUUCAGCGGCGUGCCACCGAGGGAGGGUGAGUGGGGUGGGUCCAGGGCAGGGUGGAUGGUGGCGCUACCAUGCACCCUCCUGCCUGCCCCUCACCCCAUUCUCUCUCCCUACUCCUCCUUUUCCCAGUGCUCCACCUCACUGGCCCAAGGAGGGAUCCUGAGGCCUCUCCAGUCCUCCCUCAAAAGAUGGUGAACUAUUCCUGGGCAGGGCGAAGCAAGAGGAAACUCUGGUGGAGGUCUGUAGUGUUCUUGACGCGCAAAUCUGUUGUCCGACCUGGGUAUAGGAGCGAAAGACUAAUUGAACCAUCUAGUAGCUGGUUUCCUCCGAAGGUUCCCUCAGGAUAGCUGGCGCUCUCAAAAACCACAAUGAAGUUUUAUCCUGUAAAGUGAAUGAUUAGAGGUCUUGAGGCCAAAACCGUCUCAACCUAUUCUCAAACUUUAAAUGGGUAAGAAUCCCAGCUCGCUGGCGUGGAGCCAGGCGUGGAAUGCGAGUGCCUAGUGUGCCACUUUUGGUAAGCAGGACUGGCCCUGCAGGAUGAACCAAAUGCCAGGUUAAAGCGCCCGAUGCCAACGCUCAUCAGACCCCAGAAAAGUUGUUGGUUGAUAUAGACAGCAGGAUGUUGGCCAUGGAAGUUGGAAUCCGCUAAGGAGUGUGUAACAACUCACCUGCCGAAUCAACUAGCCCUGAAAAUGGAUGGUGCUGGAGCAUCCGGCCCAUACCUGGCCGUCGCUAGCAGUGGGAUCUACACAGGAGCAAGAAGGGGAAUCUGCGUGGAGGGUUGCCCCUUCCCCUCACCGCCCUCCCCAUGUGUGUCGCCCUGCAGACACUAGCCAUGGCGAGCAGGAGGGCUGCUGCGGUGAGCCUUGAAGCCUAGGGUGUGGGCCCCGGUGGAGCCGCCGCAGGUGCCGAUCUUGGUGGUAGUAGCAAAUAUUCAAACAAGAACUUUGAAGGCAGAAGUGGAGAAGGAUUCCAUGUGAACAGCAGUUGAAUAUGAAUCAAUUGGUCCUGAGAGAUGGGCUAGCGCCAUUCCGAAGGGACAGGUGAUGGUCUCCGUUGCCCUCAGCCUGUCAAAAAGGAGUCUGGUUCAGAUCUCCGAAUUCAGAGUGGCAGAGAUGGUCAUGGCGAGGCAUCCAGUGCGGUAACGCGACCGACCCCAGAGAAGCCAGCGGGAGCCCCGGGGAGAGUUCACUUUUCUUUGUGAAGGGCAGUGUACCUUGGAAUGUGUUCGCCCUAGAAAGGGGCCUGUGACUUGGAAAGCGUUGCGGUUCCAGCGGCGUCUGGUGAGCUCUUGCUGGCCCUUGAAAAUCCGGGGAAGAGGGGUGUAAAUCUCACGCCAAACCUUACCCAGAUCCGCAGCAUGUCUCCAAGGUGAACAGCCUCAGGCGUGUUAGAACAAUGUAGGUAAGGGAAGUCGGCAAGCUGGAUCUGUAACUUCCGGAUAAGGAUUGGCUCUAAGGGCGGGGUCGGUCGGGCUGGGGCGCCAAUCGGGACUUGACACGCGUCAUGGCUGGACGAGGUGCCCGCCUCCCCACUACGCCUGGGGUUUCCCCUCGUCCAAGCCUGCCCCUGCUUCCCGCCUCUGACCCUCCUGUGCGGCGCGCCGCCCGUAGUCCGCUCUGGCGGUGCUGCGGCAUCUGCAGCAGGGGGGCCCCUGGUGGUCCAGCGGUGGCAGAACAGUCUCCCUUGGGGCCAGUGGGCCUCCUGGGGGGGCCUGGACACCUGGGGGGCCGACGCCAGCAUCAACUUUGGACGCAAGCCAACGUAUGCGGGGAGCCCAGCGGGUGCCUUGCACGCCCAGCUCCUCUCCCUCUCAUCUCCGCAGCCCCUUUCCGCUCGACACCCCCCCCCCCACAUCCUAGCGCAGCGAGCAUCAGCGGCAGGGUGGGGUCUGACCUCCGUCCUUUCCCGCCUCUUGUACGCUCCAGGUAGCGGCGCGGGGAGAAGGGUGUGGGGGGAGUUGUCGGUUUUGGGAGGAGUGGGGAAGCCGGUCCGCACUGGUCUCCCCCGCCGGGUGAGCCCCCACGCCGCAGUUCCUUGCAGUGCUCCACCUCAGCCUGCACCUAGCAACCCACUUAGAACUGGUGUUCCAGGCGAAUCUGACUGUUUAACUAAAACAAAGCAUCACGAAGGCCCUCGGUGGGUGCUGAUGCGAUGUAAUUUCUGCCCAGUGCUCUGAAUGUCAAAGUGAAGAAAUUCAAUGAAGUGCGGGGAAAUGGUGAGCUAAACUAUUACUCUCUUAAGGUAGCCAGAUGCCUCAUCUAAUUAGUGACGCGCAUCAUGGAUGAAUGAAAUUCCCACUGUCCCUACCUACUACCCAGCGAAACCACAGCCAAGGGAAUGGGCUUGGCAGAAUCAGCGGGGAAAGAAGACACUGUUGAGCUUGACUCUAAUCUGGCACAGUGAAGAGACAUGAGAGGUGUAGAAUAAGUGGGAGGCCCCGGCAUCCCCCCCAUUUCCCGCGAGGGGAUGGGGUGGGGUCCGCCGGCCUCAAGGGCUGCCGGUGAAACAUCACUACUCUGAUCGUGUUUUCACUGACCCGGUGAGAUGAGGGGGCAAGCCCCGUGGGGCUGUCGCUUCUGGCACCAAGCGUUAGGUCCUCUGUGCUGCGUCUUCACAGGUGCGCAGUUGUCCCACCAGGCGCAACCCGCUCCGGGGACAGUGUUAGGUGGGGGUUUGACUGUGGUGGUACACCUGUCAAACAGUAACGCAGGGGUCCUAAGGUGAGCUCAGGGAGGACAGAAACCUCUCAUGGAGCAGAUGGGCAAAAGCUCGCUUGAUCUUGAUUUUCAGUAUGAAUAUAGACCGUGAAAGCGGGGCCUCACGGUCCUUCUGACCUUUUGGGUUUUAAGCAGGCGGUAUCAGAAAAGUUACCACAGAUAUCUAACUGGCUUGUGGCGGCCAAGCAUAGCGACAUCCCUUUUUGAUCCUUCGAUGUCGGCUCUUCCUAUCAUUGUGAAGCAGAAUUCAUCAAAGGUUGGAUUGUUUACCCACUAAUAGGGAACGUGAGCUGGGUUUAGACCGUCGUGAGACAAAUUAGUCUUACCCUACUGAUGAUGUGUUGUUGCCAUGGUAAUCCUGCUCAGUAGGAGAAAGGAACCACAGGUUCAGACAUUUGGUGUAUGUGUUUGGCUGAGGAGCCAAUGGGGCAAAGCUACCAUCUGUGGAAUUAUGACUGAACGCCUCUAAGUCAGAAUCCUGCCCAGGCGGAACGAUAUGCACGUUCGUGAGGAACCUGGUGCUAAACCAUUGUAGAGGAUCUGCUUCUGGGUCAGGGUUUUGUAAGUAGCAGAGAAGCUUCCUCGCUGUAAUCUAUUGAAAGUCAGCCAGCCCUCAACUCGAGGGUUUGU
RNAcentral lists this ribosomal RNA (4536 nucleotides) under Cavia porcellus (domestic guinea pig). RNAcentral describes it as "Eukaryotic large subunit ribosomal RNA". It matches the Rfam family "Eukaryotic large subunit ribosomal RNA". Lineage: Eukaryota; Metazoa; Chordata; Mammalia; Rodentia; Caviidae. The record is from Rfam by way of RNAcentral.